CGACCACUGCUGAGAGGCGGGCUCCCCCUGUGCCGGCUGGUCCUGUGGCUGAGGAGAUGUCAUGUGGAUGUCCCCGCACGGCCCACUCCUCCUGGACCCACGGGUCACUCUGGUGGCUUCUUGGUAGGACAGAAAAGAGACGUGACAAGUGGUAUUGGGGCCAAGUCGGAAAGGCAGCACGCUGACUGCUCAGAGCUGUUGUUGCACAAUAAUGCUCUGGGCUCAUUCAUUAGGCAGAAGCUCGUGGGGAUGGGCUCUGGGCAGCGCUGGCCUGAAACACGGAAGCCAUUUGCGGACUAAAAGUUUAAGCCUGGAAUGCCAGCUCUCAUUUACGUUCCCCCUCGAGGUCAGGGAGCCACAGGAAAGAGCAAAGGCUGAGGGAGGAGAGGCCCCCCGGAUGGGUCCUGCAUGCCCUUUCUGCCCUGACCUGGAAAAUUCACCUGGAAAACCCAUGAGGCUCCCAGGGCAGAUGGCCUCACGUGACCCAGAUGUCAAGCCAUCGCGAUUCCUAGAGGGAGCUUGGCAGGUGAGGUUGGGGGGUGGGGUGGGGGGUGGGGCAGGUGGCAAGAGAAAGGGAAAGAGAGGCCACCUGAAGAGGUGGCCACUGGUGGCUGCGAAAGGUCAGCAAAGAAAUGGGGACCAAGCGUCCUGUCUGUACAGAUGAGUUUCCCAAGGCAUCUGGCUUUGCUUUGCAAACACCGGCUGGCUUCCCUGUCAUUUCCGUCCUCUUGCCUUUGGCCUUGGCUCUGAC
Molecule: long non-coding RNA, 751 nt
Filed under: Sus scrofa (pig)
Lineage: Eukaryota; Metazoa; Chordata; Mammalia; Artiodactyla; Suidae
Description: lncRNA (ENSSSCG00030025298.1)
Source: RNAcentral